GCGAGUGAAGCGGGAAGAGCUCAAAUUUGAAAUCUGGUGGCCUCAGGUCAUCCGAGUUGUAAUCUAUAGAAGUGUUUUCCGUGCUGGCUCAUGUACAAGUCCCUUGGAACAGGGCGUCAUAGAGGGUGAGAAUCCCGUCCUUGACAUGAACUACCAGUGCUCUGUGAUACAUUUUCAACGAGUCGAGUUGUUUGGGAAUGCAGCUCAAAAUGGGUGGUAAAUUCCAUCUAAAGCUAAAUAUUGGCGAGAGACCGAUAGCGAACAAGUACCGUGAGGGAAAGAUGAAAAGCACUUUGGAAAGAGAGUUAAACAGUAUGUGAAAUUGUUGAAAGGGAAACGAUUGAAGUCAGUCGUGCUCUUUGGAUUCAGCCGGUUCUGCCGGUGUACUUCCUUUGAGUGGGGUCAACAUCAGUUUUGAUCGCUGGAUAAAGGCUGGAGGAACGUAGUACCCUCGGGUAAACUUAUAGCCUCCUGUCACAUACAGUGGUUGGGACUGAGGAACGCAGCACGCCUUUAUGGCCGGGAUUCGUCCACGUAC
Molecule: ribosomal RNA, 538 nt
Filed under: Filobasidium magnum
Lineage: Eukaryota; Fungi; Basidiomycota; Tremellomycetes; Filobasidiales; Filobasidiaceae
Description: eukaryotic LSU rRNA
Rfam family: Eukaryotic large subunit ribosomal RNA
Source: RNAcentral